CAAAGGCGAGUUUGAAUUGGACAUUGUGCAUGCCAAUCUCCGCGAACAGCUCAGUGCCUGCUCUUUGUUUUCCCUGGGUUUCUCUCGCCCAGCGGUUUCCAAAGCCACAGCUCGUGGAAUAUUUGUAGGCGCCCGCUAUUGGUGAAGCGUCUUCAUCUGUCAAAUACGUAGGCGGGACUCGGUUUGCUGCGGCUCCUGGGCUAGGGAGGCUGAAACUGCACUUCUCUGUUUCAUAGCAAGAGCAUCUCUUAGCAAGCAGUCACAGUAACGGUGUCUCAGCGCCAGGAUCGGGAGAACUGUGGGACCUGACAAACAUCACCAUUCGCACAGGAGCGUAUAAUUCUCCACUGUUUAAAUUGCACGCCUCACCUGGAUACACCACAGUCUUCAUAAGGAAAAGAAGCGAGACGAGUUGCCAGCUCACUUAGCUGAAGGAAAGGAGAAGAAUGAUUCUCAAGCAGCAUUUACUUAUUCUUUACAGCUUCUGUGGGAUCGUUUUAAAAGGAAACAUCAUAUUACACCCCCUUACUCUGUGACACCGUAUUGGACCUGUUUAGAAUCCCUGGUACAGAAGAAAGGCUGUCAGCUACUUGUCCACCAACACUACGCCUGGUG
This 615-nucleotide long non-coding RNA is filed under the name Lepisosteus oculatus (spotted gar). Its description in RNAcentral is "lncRNA (ENSLOCG00000022961.1)". The record is from RNAcentral. Lineage: Eukaryota; Metazoa; Chordata; Actinopteri; Semionotiformes; Lepisosteidae.